This 29-nucleotide non-coding RNA is filed under the name Homo sapiens (human). The record is from RNAcentral. Lineage: Eukaryota; Metazoa; Chordata; Mammalia; Primates; Hominidae.
UGGGGAACAGGUGGUAUUUGCUUACAUGA